CCAGGCUCGUCAGGCUUGAAUAUUUCGCGAGUUUUUACUCCGAAUGACAUUGUUAUAAGGUGUGAGUGGGAUAUCCCUGUUUGAAAAAUGUCGCACGUCGUACAAGCUGUCGCGCGGUUUUGGUUUUACCGUUUCGAUAUCGAUUGGUCGAAAGGACGACAAACGUACGACAAACACUCGACAUGCCCGACAUUGUUUUUUCCAUCGAUUUCCCUUCAAUUCGACGUCCCGAUUUUCGUCGACGCAAACAGUUUGACAGUUCUCUUCAGUUGGUCUUGUUUGGACUUGAAUGCAACCGAAUCGAACUAGUUAUUGUUGAUGUUGGGCUUCGGAAGGAUUUUGACCGGUAAGUUGUGCUUCUUUUUCUGUCGGAAAGUUCCGGCCGGAGUGGGCAAGUGGCCAAAUUAUAGUUUCUUAUGUUCCAGAUAUUCAGAAUUCUGUCUUCGUGGCGGUGGAGGAGGAGGACGAGACGCAUGAAUCCGGCGGGCCAGGUCUUCGUGGCGGAAGACAGGACCGGAAGGAACCGAGCUUAUGGAGGAUAUGGUUCAUUCCAAAGGAGGAGGAGGAUGAAUCACCGAAUGUCAAAAGUUCUACCCAAGCUUGUUGAACGGAAGCUGUAACGACCGCAAAAACACCUGCUCCAGAAGUGCGUAAACCGACGUUGUCCCAUACUCCGGUGGCCAUCAAUCCAUGGGACAUAAACGGUGGCGCCGCACCCCGCCGUAUCUGCGGCUAGUCGAGGAGCAAUAGUCCUUCUUGAUCAAGAUGCUGCCCCGCACGCUGGCGUCGGCUCGAAAAGAUGGCUGACAAAAUCCGGACCCGGAAGACAACGCCAAAAAAUUCCGGCCAAGAUGCCGAGCGACGAGGAGAACUGGAAGACCAACCGGAAGACGACACCAAGAUGUACGUGAAGAUCCGCGACACAACAAGUAUAAUGAAAUAAUUGAUUUUUUACUGUGGGGAAAUGUGCAAAUUACAUAAAAAAAUAAAAUAAAUUAAAAAUAAACAAUCAUCCAUUUUUUAACUGCAACAUAACCUAAAAACCUGAAAAAACAGCACACGACAAAGGCACGACAACCUAAAUAACAAAACCGUGCGACGUCGGUCGAAUGUCGUACGACAAUGUCGAACAAUUUCGAUGAUCGAUCGCACGACAAAUACGACAUUUUGGUGCAAAACCGUAUGACAUUCGUGCGAAUGUCGCACGACAUUGUCGUGCGACGUCGUACGAUUGCACGGACGACAAACGACGGACGUCCGACGGACUUUUCAGUCAGGGAUACGCCAACAUUUCAAAAGGCAUGUACAUUUGGACACUUUCAGGAUUAUUCCAUAUUCUGAAAGUGCUCAUAAUAAGCUACCUCUUCACCAAAAAUGAGCAAAAGUUACUUCAGUAAAGUCUGUUUAAUAAUGAUUUGAAAUAAGGUAACAUAAGCAAACUCCCUGGCAUCAGCAGUGCCUGUUUAUAAAGCCCUGUCAAAUAAAAGACUACAUGAGCCGAAAAAACGAAAAAAAAACAUCAUGAAAAAGACGCCACUUCUCCUUCACUUGCAAAAGGCGCCAUGUACAUUCGGCGAAGAGAAACGAAUCAUAACAAAGCUUCCCCUCUAAUGACAGCAGGGUGAUUUCAAAAGAAGUUAUGUUUGUUUUUCUUAAAUAUAAUGGCGGAAAUAAUGUUUUAUUGAAUAUGAAUGAUCAAGUAUCAAUGAAAGCAACGUUUUUCAUCGUUUGUUAUCAUUAGAACAUCUUAUUUUGAUUUUAUAUUAAAGUGGGAAUUGAAAAAUGAUGCUCAACAUUCAAAUGCGUUUUUCUCAAAAAUGCUUUUUAAAAUGUUGGCGUACGUAAUAGUGCAUCACAUCCUUGCUCAGCCUUAACCUUCGGUUCACCAGCGACUUGACCUCGUCCGACAAGGGGACAUCUUGACCCAGUGCCAGCCAGCAAACGAUCUUUCUUAUUUCUGGAUUGUGCUGUGCACCACCCUACCAAUUGGGUACUAAAGCCCUAUGUCAAUUUUUGUGUACAACGGUAAAAAACAACGACAAGACAACACUUUUUCGAUGGAUCAACUAUGGUUCCCUUGGAACGAGCUGUCAAGUAGGAGCUUUUCUGUCAAGAAGGACCGCGAGGUAAAUUUUUCAAAAUUGAUUUAAAAUUCCAUUUUAAACUCCUUGUGGUCGUACAAAAGGUCAUUGUACUUAGAAAAAUAAGCUUUAUCGCUGUAAACAAUAAAAACAGCAAUAAGCUUCAUUUUAGGACCACCAGUGGGUUUUUUUUAAUUGGGUACUGAAGCUAUAUGUAAAUUUUUAUGUACACCGGUAAAAAAUACGAUCAAAAACCAUUUCUGAUCACUUUUUUUUUCAUUUUAAAGCAAAAAAAGGUGCAGGUGGUUAUGUUACACAUGACCAGUAUGACAAAGAACUUUGCUAGAUGAUUGUUGAAAUUUUCGAUUAGAAUGUCCGGUUCAAAUUUCCCCAUGAUUCCCUUAUAAUUACACAAGACAACUCUUUAGUGGUCAAUUUCGUGGCCCUGAAACAGGCUGUUUGAUUUGAAAAGUUUAAAGACAUAAUAUUAACGUCUUAUCGAACUAAGGGGACGGAAAUUGCAAGUGGAGCUGAACUGCCAGGGCUUUAAUUGGUUAAGAAAUGGUUAUUCUAAAUUUCCAGAAACAGAUUCCUGAAGUUUGAUACCCAUCUUGCCCCAACUCUUAUGGUUCGGCAAAUGCACCCCCAUCGGAACAUCCGCGGGGCCUCCGGCCACUCCGGAUUGUGGCCACUACUGCCGAAAUGUCAAAUUUCAUGUCCAGUAUCAAAAUCCAUAAAGUUUGAUACCCAUAUUGCCCCAACUCUUAUGGUUCGGCAAAUGUCCCCCCAUCGGAACAUCCGCGGGGCCUCCGGCCACUCCGGAUUGUGGCCACUACUGCCGAAAUGUCAAAUUUCAUGUGCAGUAUCAAAAACCCUACAGUUUGAUACCCAUAUUGCCCCAACUCUUAUGGUUCGGCAAAUGUCCCCCCAUCGGAACAUCCGCGGGGCCCUCCGGAUUGUGGCCACUACUGCUGAAAUGUCAAAUUUCAUGUUCAGUAUCAAAAACCU
Culex pipiens pallens (northern house mosquito) is the source of this 3089-nucleotide RNA transcript. RefSeq lists it as uncharacterized. The record is from RefSeq and is a predicted model, not a curated record. NCBI's taxonomy places the organism in Eukaryota, Metazoa, Arthropoda, Insecta, Diptera, Culicidae. The transcript has 2 exons.